CCGGAGGGAUCAUUACCGAGUUUACAACUCCCAAACCCCAUGUGAACAUACCUGUUUCGUUCCCUCGGCGGUGCCCGGAAACGGCCCGCCAGAGGACCCAACAAACUCUUUUGAAUUUAUAGUAUCUUCUGAGUGAAAAAAACAAUAAAUCAAAACUUUCAACAACGGAUCUCUUGGUUCUGGCAUCGAUGAAGAACGCAGCGAAAUGCGAUAAGUAAUGUGAAUUGCAGAAUUCAGUGAAUCAUCGAAUCUUUGAACGCACAUUGCGCCCGCCAGUAUUCUGGCGGGCAUGCCUGUUCGAGCGUCAUUUCAACCCUCAAGCACCUUCGGGAGCUUGGUGUUGGGGAUCGGCAGAGCGUCCUCCGGGUCGCGCCGUCCCCCAAAUUUAGUGGCGGUCUCGCUGUAGCUUCCUCUGCGUAGUAAUACACCUCGCUCUGGAGUCUCGGCGCGGCCACGCCGUAAAACCCCAACUUUUUCUGGUUGACCUCGAAUCAGGUAGGACUACCCGCUGAACUUAAGCAUAUA
Molecule: ribosomal RNA, 525 nt
Filed under: Calonectria pseudonaviculata
Lineage: Eukaryota; Fungi; Ascomycota; Sordariomycetes; Hypocreales; Nectriaceae
Description: eukaryotic LSU rRNA
Rfam family: 5.8S ribosomal RNA (bases 154-307)
Source: RNAcentral